RNAcentral lists this ribosomal RNA (606 nucleotides) under Zygaena fausta elodia. Its description in RNAcentral is "partial 12S ribosomal RNA". Lineage: Eukaryota; Metazoa; Arthropoda; Insecta; Lepidoptera; Zygaenidae. The record is from RNAcentral.
UGCGGUUAUACAAAAAUUAAAUUAAAUUCUUUUAGGUUUUAAUAAAUAAAUAAAAUAAAAAUAAUUUAAAUAUUAAAUUAUAAGGUGAAAUUUAAAUUUAAUUAAAAUUUAUUUAUUUUUAUAACAUUAAUAAAUUUUAUAAAAAACUAGGAUUAGAUACCCUAUUAUAAAAAUUUAAAUAAAUAAAAUCUUAAAAUAGUAUAUAAUUUUUUAUAGAAACUUAAAUAAUUUGGCGGUAUUUUAGUUCAUUUAGAGGAAUCUGUCUAAUAAUUGAUAAUCCACGAUUAAAUUUACUUAAUUUAUAAUUUUGUAUAUCGUUGUUAAAAAAAUAUUUUUAAAUAAUUAUAAUAUUUUAAAAUUUAUAUAAAAGAUUAAAUCAGAUCAAGAUGCAGAAUAUAAUUAAGAAUAUGAUGGAUUACAAUAAAUUUUAUUUUAUUUGGAUAUUAAUUUGGAAAAAAUUAAUUGAAAUUGGAUUUAAAUGUAAUUUUAUUUAUUUUAUUAAAAUGAUUUAAAAUUAAAAUAUGUACAUAUUGCCCGUCGCUUUCAUUAAUAAAUUGAAAUAAGUCGUAACAAAGUAGAGGUACUGGAAAGUGUCUCUAGAAAGAU